UUAAUAAAACCCCCAACUUUAUAACCUACUAUGGGCAAUGGAAGAAUAAGUGAUUUUUUUUCUUUAUUCUUUGUACUUUUCCGUAUUUUUCGAAAUGCCUACAGAGAACUCAUAUUACUUUUACAAUAGAGGAGAAGAGAUGAAAGGGGCCACAACUGUUUCUGAGUGGCUCCUACACCAGAAGCUAGAGCUGGCCUGAGAAAGAAGGAGUGUUUUUCCCAACUGCUGUCCUCAACCAAUCAAGUCAAGUUGGAGCUCUGGAUGUUAUGGAUCUUUCUUGUCUUUGCACACUGUCUUUUAGAAAAGGCCAUCUACCAAUUCUAGUGCUCUGGGACUGUGGUAACUGUGGCUGAAGGAUCCUAAUAAGGCAAAAGAAGAUGUGAGAUGCUCACUACUGCUGUUCAAGAAGAGAGGAGAUACUACUAAUGUCAAUAUUUUCAGUGUCAUAUGAAAAGAAAACUACUGAUGGCUGCAGUUACCUAUAAAGAGUCCAUUGAUGCCAAUGGCUCUGCUUCACUGCGGCCUUCAAAAACCAUGAUUACACAGCACAAAUGUGGUAAGACCCGAUGCUUGGUUUGCAGUGAGAAUUGAACACAAAGGCACUAGAGUCAUUUGACUCGAAUCUCCACAAUAUACCAGACUUGGAGCAAAUAACUCUACU
Molecule: non-coding RNA, 661 nt
Organism: Peromyscus maniculatus bairdii (prairie deer mouse)
Lineage: Eukaryota; Metazoa; Chordata; Mammalia; Rodentia; Cricetidae
Source: RefSeq, a predicted model, not a curated record